Molecule: transfer RNA, 107 nt
Filed under: Silvimonas sp.
Lineage: Bacteria; Pseudomonadati; Pseudomonadota; Betaproteobacteria; Neisseriales; Chitinibacteraceae
Description: tRNA-OTHER
Source: RNAcentral
GGAGACAAAAUUGCGGUAAACAUUUGAAAACGCUCUACAUCUACACAGACUUGAAAACUGCCGAGGAUGCGAGUCCUCCGUGAGUUCGAAUCUCACAGCCUCCGCCA